Molecule: long non-coding RNA, 1537 nt
Organism: Vigna angularis (adzuki bean)
Lineage: Eukaryota; Viridiplantae; Streptophyta; Magnoliopsida; Fabales; Fabaceae
Exons: 4
Source: RefSeq, a predicted model, not a curated record
UUCACUUCGCGCCUCAUAGUUUCACUUCGCGCUUCCAUAGCUUCUCUUCGCAUCUCAAUGACUUCUCUUUCAAUUUCUCAUUUUUCGCCUCCAUAUGCACCACAACUGUUGCCUCUCUAUUUUCCGACGACAACCGUUUCAGAGAAAACCUGCUUCAUCCACUUGUGAAUCUGAUCUUGGCGGUGUUUUUGGUAAAAACAACCGACAUGGCAUGCGAGUGAUAUCCACAGCCUGCCGCUGCCAGCGAUGUCCGCGAAGCUGCCGACUGUGCCCUCGCCGCCACGGCUUAAGGCCAUACUCGCUGGAGCUGCGCGAUUCUCGCCGGUGGAAGGGGAGGCACCACAUGAAGGCCAGGAAGUUCCACGCUGAAUUGAUGAAGAAGAGGGCACCGGAGAUUCGGAGAAUGGCUCUGCCGCUGCAGAAGAAGGCGCACUCUCUCGGACGGUUAAUCCCCGGUUGCCGGACGGUGUCGUUCCCCGAAGCUUCUAGAAGAAGCCGGUGAUUAUAUGUGUCUUGGAGAUGCAAGUGUCAUCUGAUGCACACUAGUUAUCUAUUGAGAAGAGCAAGUACCUUGGAGGACAUUGUAACAAAGUUAUUUUCAUUUUCACAGUAGAGGUCAAGGGCUUUGUGCAGCUUAACUGGAACUGGGACUGUUUUAUUUUCAGUUAUACAAUAUUUUAUAAGGCAGCACAUUCACAUUUGAAGGCAAAUUCCCAUUCUGGUGUUACAUCAAAACAAUAAACUUCAUAAUUAUUCUGUAGCAUUGAUGAACAUAUUGAAUAUACCCAAAGUUAUGGCUUCUGGGAGUUUGAUUGAAGUUUUCAACAUUAUUUAUCCUCGACUUACAUGGCUAUUUGAUGUUGAUUUGUAUUAAUUCAUGGUUAUUUUGUAUCAUUGAUGAAUAUAUAUUAAAUACUUGACUGUGAUGAUUGGAAUACUCCAUUGUAAGUUGAAUAAUCAUUCGAGAUUAGUAAGGAAUUAUAUUCCCAGCUUGAAACUAGAGAUUCUGCUAAAUAUGCUUGAAUCUUGGAACUGGAUAAUUUACAAGUAUGUCUACUGUUAUCGUGCAAAAGUUGGCUAUAUAUCUUAGCACUCAUCAUAACUUUUUAAGGCAUCGUUGGUUCUUGAAGAGGUAAUAUCUAUUCAUUUCCUUUUUUUUCAUGAUCUUGUUUACUGUCACUUACAAUGAUUUGGCAUUAUAGAAAUUAAAUUUUGGUGAUGAUCCAUGCACCGCUUUUAUUCUCUCCUUUGAAGCUGCAUUAGAGAGAACUUCUGUGGUGUAGCUUCUUCCUUAUAAUUAAGAGAUAUAUUUAAUCUAUUUAUAUUUUAUGCUAACAGGGAGAGUGCAGAGAGUUCCACCUUUUGUAGUGUAGUAAUUGAAGCUUUUUUACGGCAAUUAAAUAUUUUUCACUAUAAACAACUAAAGUGUCAUGUAAUGAGUCCUUAAGGAACGAAGAUCCCUCCUUGUUGUAAAUUUACAUCACUGUAAUAUUAAAUCAAGUACAAUAUGACAUAACUAUAGAGUAGACACCUUUUU